Molecule: ribosomal RNA, 180 nt
Filed under: uncultured Glomeromycotina
Lineage: Eukaryota; Fungi; Glomeromycota
Description: partial small subunit ribosomal RNA
Source: RNAcentral
GGCCUGGCCGGGUGGUCUGCUUAACGGCAUGUACUGUCUGGGUGGGCCUUACCUCUUGGUGAGCCGGCGUGCCCUUCAUUGGCGUGCGUCGGGGAACCAGGACUUUUACCUUGAGAAAAUUAGAGUGUUUAAAGCAGGCGUUACAAGCUUGAAUACAUUAGCAUGGAAUAAUAAAGUAGG